Magallana angulata is the source of this 442-nucleotide long non-coding RNA. RefSeq lists it as uncharacterized. The transcript has 2 exons. The record is from RefSeq and is a predicted model, not a curated record. NCBI's taxonomy places the organism in Eukaryota, Metazoa, Mollusca, Bivalvia, Ostreida, Ostreidae.
AAACAUAAACACAUGUAAAGGCAUUCCGUUGCCAACAUUUUCUAUCAUCAGAAGUUCUAGUAUAAUUCCACGCAAAAAGGUUUCAGAUUCCUCAAGAUGAAAGCGAUCAUUCUAACACUUUUCGUGGGACUACUCCUGCACUGCUGUGAAGGGUGUCCGGAAAUGUUAGAGGAUAGCCCCUGCUUCUGUGGCUGUUACGAUACGUUAUAUAAUUGCCAGAUAAACUGUGAGGGCAUGUCAUACAGCGCGCGUUAUAGGUGUCGGAGAUCGUGUAUAAACAGUAUCUAACGCUGCAACAGAAGCUGCCUGCCUCUUCCAGCUAACUGAUGAUGGACUGACAUUGAAAACAUAUUUGAAAUAAUGUUAAAGACCAAAUUAUAUAAACCAUGAACAAAAGAUUUAAAGAAAUGUUACAUUAACAAUAAAAUGUGAACAAGCACAA